UAGGGAAUCUUCCGCAAUGGACGCAAGUCUGACGGAGCAACGCCGCGUGAGUGAAGAAGGAUUUCGGUUCGUAAAACUCUGUUGUUAGAGAAGAACAGCGCAUAGAGUAACUGUUAUGCGUGUGACGGUAUCUAACCAGAAAGCCACGGCUAACUACGUGCCAGCAGCCGCGGUAAUACGUAGGUCCCGAGCGUUGUCCGGAUUUAUUGGGCGUAAAGCGAGCGCAGGCGGUUAGAAAAGUCUGAAGUGAAAGGCAGUGGCUCAACCAGUGUAGGCAUUGGAAACUGUUUAACUUGAGUGCAGAAGGGGAGAGUGGAAUUCCAUGUGUAGCGGUGAAAUGCGUAGAUAUAUGGAGGAACACCGGUGGCGAAAGCGGCUCUCUGGUCUGUAACUGACGCUGAGGCUCGAAAGCGUGGGGAGCGAACAGG
RNAcentral lists this ribosomal RNA (428 nucleotides) under Bacteroidota bacterium. RNAcentral's name for it is "Bacteroidetes bacterium partial 16S ribosomal RNA". It matches the Rfam family "Bacterial small subunit ribosomal RNA", at positions 355 to 776 of the family's 1533-position model. Lineage: Bacteria; Pseudomonadati; Bacteroidota. The record is from RNAcentral.